UGAGUAGGCGGUUGCAUAUGUCAGAUGUAAAAGGCACAGGCUUAACUUGUGUUAGCAUUUGAAACUGUGCGACUUGAGUGCAGGAGAGGUAAGUGGAAUUCCUAGUGUAGCGGUGAAAUGCGUAGAUAUUAGGGGGAACACCAGUGGCGAAGGCGACUUACUGGACUGUAACUGACGCUGAGUCACGAAAGCGUGGGUAGCAAACA
Molecule: ribosomal RNA, 206 nt
Filed under: uncultured Eubacteriales bacterium
Lineage: Bacteria; Bacillati; Bacillota; Clostridia; Eubacteriales
Description: uncultured Clostridiales bacterium partial 16S ribosomal RNA
Rfam family: Bacterial small subunit ribosomal RNA
Source: RNAcentral